This is a transfer RNA of 73 nucleotides. It matches the Rfam family "tRNA". From Rfam's summary of the family: Transfer RNA (tRNA) molecules are approximately 80 nucleotides in length. Their secondary structure includes four short double-helical elements and three loops (D, anti-codon, and T loops). The record is from Rfam.
GCCUGCUUAGCUCAAAGAUUAGAGCAUCACAUUUGUAAUGCGAUGGUCAUCAGUUUGAUUUUGAUAGCUGGCU